RNAcentral lists this ribosomal RNA (253 nucleotides) under uncultured bacterium. Its description in RNAcentral is "partial 16S ribosomal RNA". It matches the Rfam family "Bacterial small subunit ribosomal RNA", at positions 524 to 776 of the family's 1533-position model. The record is from RNAcentral.
UACGGAGGGGGCGAGCGUUAUUCGGAAUUAUUGGGCGUAAAGGGCGCGUAGGCAGCUUGAUGUGUCAAAGGUGAAAUCCCUCGGCUCAACUGAGGAACUGCCUUUGAAACUGUCUGGCUUGAGGCCGGGAGAGGGUAGCGGAAUUCCCAGUGUAGCGGUGAAAUGCGUAGAUACUGGGAGGAACACCGGUGGCGAAGGCGGCUACCUGGACCGGUUCUGACGCUGAUGCGCGAAAGCGUGGGUAGCAAACAGG